GUAUAGCCCCGAUAGAAGUGGAAAUCCUUUUAUGGUGGGGUUCACCAUAAAAGAUUGAAACGGAUAGCGGGACUAAAC
Molecule: small RNA, 78 nt
Filed under: Flavobacterium resistens
Lineage: Bacteria; Pseudomonadati; Bacteroidota; Flavobacteriia; Flavobacteriales; Flavobacteriaceae
Description: Flavo-1 RNA
Rfam family: Flavo-1 RNA
Source: RNAcentral